GACGAACGCUGGCGGCGUGCUUAACACAUGCAAGUCGAACGGAAAGGCCCUGCUUUUGUGGGGUGCUCGAGUGGCGAACGGGUGAGUAACACGUGAGUAACCUGCCCUUGACUUUGGGAUAACUUCAGGAAACUGGGGCUAAUACCGGAUAGGAGCUCCUGCUGCAUGGUGGGGGUUGGUAAGUUUCGGCGGUUGGGGAUGGACUCGCGGCUUAUCAGCUUGUUGGUGGGGUAGUGGCUUACCAAGGCUUUGACGGGUAGCCGGCCUGAGAGGGUGACCGGCCACAUUGGGACUGAGAUACGGCCCAGACGCCUACGGGAGGCAGCAGUGGGGAAUAUUGCACAAUGGGCGGAAGCCUGAUGCAGCAACGCCGCGUGCGGGAUGACGGCCUUCGGGUUGUAAACCGCUUUCGCCUGUGACGAAGCGUGAGUGACGGUAAUGGGUAAAGAAGCACCGGCUAACUACGU
This 467-nucleotide ribosomal RNA is filed under the name uncultured bacterium. Its description in RNAcentral is "partial 16S ribosomal RNA". It matches the Rfam family "Bacterial small subunit ribosomal RNA", at positions 28 to 506 of the family's 1533-position model. The record is from RNAcentral.